This 424-nucleotide ribosomal RNA is filed under the name uncultured bacterium. RNAcentral's name for it is "bacterial SSU rRNA". It matches the Rfam family "Bacterial small subunit ribosomal RNA", at positions 202 to 622 of the family's 1533-position model. The record is from RNAcentral.
AAGACCUUUGCGCUUUUGGAGCGGCCGAUGYCUGAUUAGCUUGUUGGUAAGGUAAAAGCUUACCAAGGCUUCGAUCAGUAGCUGGUCUGAGAGGACGGCCAGCCACACUGGGACUGAGACACGGCCCAGACUCCUACGGGAGGCAGCAGUGGGGAAUUUUGGACAAUGGGGGCAACCCUGAUCCAGCCAUGCCGCGUGAGUGAAGAAGGCCUUCGGGUUGUAAAGCUCUUUCAGCCGGAACGAAACGGUUACGGUUAAUACCCGUGACUACUGACGGUACCGGAAGAAGAAGCACCGGCUAACUACGUGCCAGCAGCCGCGGUAAUACGUAGGGUGCAAGCGUUAAUCGGAAUUACUGGGCGUAAAGCGUGCGCAGGUGGUUUUGUAAGUCAGAUGUGAAAUCCCCGGGCUUAACCUGGGAACU